UAGCUUGUCAUUAGCUGGGUAUCCACCUUGACAUGGUGGGGGUCGUUGGUUCGAGUCCAAUUGUGCCUACCA
RNAcentral lists this transfer RNA (72 nucleotides) under Pseudomonas putida. RNAcentral's name for it is "tRNA-Ser". Lineage: Bacteria; Pseudomonadati; Pseudomonadota; Gammaproteobacteria; Pseudomonadales; Pseudomonadaceae. The record is from RNAcentral.